RNAcentral lists this ribosomal RNA (439 nucleotides) under uncultured bacterium. RNAcentral's name for it is "partial 16S ribosomal RNA". It matches the Rfam family "Bacterial small subunit ribosomal RNA", at positions 338 to 795 of the family's 1533-position model. The record is from RNAcentral.
CCUACGGGUGGCUGCAGUGGGGAAUUUUGCGCAAUGGGGGAAACCCUGACGCAGCAACGCCGCGUGCGGGACGAAGGCCCUCGGGUCGGAAACCGCUUUCAGCAGGGAAGACAACGACGGUACCUGCAGAAGAAGCUCCGGCCAACUACGGGCCAGCAGCCGCGGUAAUACGUAGGGGGCGAGCGUUAUCCGGAUGCAUGGGGCGAAAAGCGCGCGUAGGCGGCCGCCUAAGCGGAACCUCAAACCCCGGGGCUCAACCCCGGGCCGGGUUGCAGACUGGGCGGCUAGAGUGCGGUAGAGGAGAGCGGAAUGCCCGGUGUAGCGGUGGAAUGCGUAGAUAUCGGGCAGAACACCGAUGGCGAAGGCAGCUCUCUGGGCCGUCACUGACGCUGAGGCGCGAAAGCUGGGGGAGCGAACAGGAUUAGAUACCCUAGUAGUC